CCCUUAGAUGUUCUGGGCCGCACGCGCGCUACACUGAUGCAUUCAACGAGCCUAGCCUUGACCGAGAGGUCCGGGUAAUCUUUGAAACUGCAUCGUGAUGGGGCUAGAUUAUUGCAAUUAUUAAUCUUCAACAAGGAAUGCCUAGUAAGCGUGAUUCAUCAAAUCGCGUUGAUUACGUCCCUGCCCUUUGUACACACCGCCCGUCGCUCCUACCGAUUGAGUGUGUUGGUGAGGAGUUUGGAUUGGCCUCGGAAGGUGGUUCGCCACCGUCCGUAGCUGAGAAGUUCUCCAAACCGCCCCACUUAGAGGAAGGAGAAGUCGUAACA
RNAcentral lists this ribosomal RNA (326 nucleotides) under uncultured eukaryote. Its description in RNAcentral is "partial 18S ribosomal RNA". It matches the Rfam family "Eukaryotic small subunit ribosomal RNA", at positions 1470 to 1796 of the family's 1831-position model. The record is from RNAcentral.